RNAcentral lists this ribosomal RNA (497 nucleotides) under uncultured bacterium. Its description in RNAcentral is "partial 16S ribosomal RNA". It matches the Rfam family "Bacterial small subunit ribosomal RNA", at positions 28 to 507 of the family's 1533-position model. The record is from RNAcentral.
GAUGAACGCUGGCGGCGUGCCUAAUACAUGCAAGUCGAGCGAACAGACGAGGAGCUUGCUUCUCUGACGUUAGCGGCGGACGGGUGAGUAACACGUGGAUAACCUACCUAUAAGACUGGGAUAACUUCGGGAAACCGGAUCUAAUAUCCGAUAAUAUAUUGAACCGCAUGGUUCAAUAGUGAAAGACGGUUUUGCUGUCACUUAUAGAUGGUACCGGGCCGCAUUAGCUAGUUGGUAAGGUAACGGCUUACCAAGGCGACGAUGCGUAGCCGACCUGAGAGGGUGAUCGGCCACACUGGAACUGAGACACGGUCCAGACUCCUACGGGAGGCAGCAGUAGGGAAUCUUCCGCAAUGGGCGAAAGCCUGACGGAGCAACGCCGCGUGAGUGAUGAAGGUCUUCGGAUCGUAAAACUCUGUUAUUAGGGAAGAACAAAUGUAUAAGUAACUAUGCACGUCUUGACGGUACCUACUCAGAAAGCCACGGCUAACUACGUG